Long non-coding RNA from Ailuropoda melanoleuca (giant panda), 336 nucleotides. RefSeq lists it as uncharacterized. The transcript has 2 exons. The record is from RefSeq and is a predicted model, not a curated record. Lineage: Eukaryota; Metazoa; Chordata; Mammalia; Carnivora; Ursidae.
CCCAGCUCCCGGCCUGCAAGACGAGGACGAGCAGAAGUUGCAGAGCCAUGCUGCUCAGGGGUGACUCGGGGUGCGGCCUUGAGAGAAUGCGGGCGUGUAGCCCGCAGCCCAAGCGUCGCGUCACUUCCGGACCAGGGCCCAUGAUACAGCAGUGACCUCGCAACCAUGAGACAACAUGAUCGAGGAUAAGAAGCCAACAGCUAAAAAUGGAAGAAUAGAAAAGUAGAAAGCUUGAGAAGCCAAUGUAAGCAUUGAGCAGCUGAACCAAUGUCUGCAACCAUCUACCUCUGGACUCUUGUUAUAGGGGAAAAAAUAAAGCCCUACUGAUUUAAGCUA